This 477-nucleotide ribosomal RNA is filed under the name uncultured microorganism. RNAcentral's name for it is "bacterial SSU rRNA". It matches the Rfam family "Bacterial small subunit ribosomal RNA", at positions 9 to 497 of the family's 1533-position model. The record is from RNAcentral.
GAGUUUGAUCGUGGCUCAGGAUGAACGCUGGCGGCGUGCCUAACACAUGCAAGUCGAACGGGAACCCUUGGAUUCGUCUGGGGGGGAGAGUGGCAAACGGGUGAGUAACACGUUGGUGACCUGCCCCAAAGAGGGGAAUAACCACUGGAAACGGUGGCUAAUACCCCAUGUGGUCUGUCGGUCGGACGGCAGAUUAAAGCGCCCCAUUAGGGGUUGCGCUUUGGGAGGGGCCUGCGGCCCAUCAGGUAGUUGGUAGGGUAAUGGCCUACCAAGCCGAUGACGGGUAGGGGGCGUGAGAGCGUGAUCCCCCACACUGGCACUGAGACACGGGCCAGACUCCUACGGGAGGCAGCAGUGAGGAAUAUUGCCCAAUGGACGCAAGUCUGAGGCAGCAACGCCGCGUGGGUGAUGAAGGCCUUCGGUUGUUAAACCCUUUCUGGGGUACGAGAAGGACGGUACUCAGGAAUAAGUCACGGC